GGCCUCGUAGCUCAGUUGGCUAAAGCCCUGGCCGUACUAAAACCUUCCCUUUGCUGGCGUGGGUUUGAAUCCCACCGAGGUCG
Non-coding RNA from Schistocephalus solidus, 83 nucleotides. NCBI's taxonomy places the organism in Eukaryota, Metazoa, Platyhelminthes, Cestoda, Diphyllobothriidea, Diphyllobothriidae. The record is from Rfam.